This 453-nucleotide ribosomal RNA is filed under the name uncultured Paraprevotella sp. Its description in RNAcentral is "partial 16S ribosomal RNA". It matches the Rfam family "Bacterial small subunit ribosomal RNA", at positions 341 to 792 of the family's 1533-position model. Lineage: Bacteria; Pseudomonadati; Bacteroidota; Bacteroidia; Bacteroidales; Prevotellaceae. The record is from RNAcentral.
ACGGAAGGCAGCAGUGAGGAAUAUUGGUCAAUGGGCGCGAGCCUGAACCAGCCAAGUAGCGUGAGGGAAGACUGCCCUAUGGGUUGUAAACCUCUUUUGUAUGGGAAUAAAGGGAGCCACGCGUGGCUCGUUGCAUGUACCUUACGAAUAAGCAUCGGCUAAUUCCGUGCCAGCAGCCGCGGUAAUACGGAAGAUGCGAGCGUUAUCCGGAUUUAUUGGGUUUAAAGGGAGCGUAGGCGGCCUUUUAAGUCAGCGGUUAAAUGUCAGCGCCCAACGUUGGCAUGCCGUUGAAACUGGAGGGCUUGAAUACACACAAGGUAAGUGGAAUUCGUCGUGUAGCGGUGAAAUGCUUAGAUAUGACGAAGAACUCCGAUUGCGAAGGCAGCUUACUGGGGUGCGAUUGACGCUGAGGCUCGAAAGUGCGGGAAUCAAACAGGAUUAGAUACCCUGGUA